GACGAACGCUGGCGGCGCGCCUAACACAUGCAAGUCGAACGGAGUUAUUCGAAAGCUUGCUUUUGGAUAACUGAGUGGCGGACGGGUGAGUAACGCGUGAGCAAUCUGCCUUUCAGAGGGGGAUAACAGCCGGAAACGGCUGCUAAUACCGCAUAAUGCAUCGGAUUCGCAUGUUUCUGAUGCCAAAGAUUUUAUCGCUGAAAGAUGAGCUCGCGUCUGAUUAGCUAGUUGGCGGGGUAACGGCCCACCAAGGCGACGAUCAGUAGCCGGACUGAGAGGUUGAACGGCCACAUUGGGACUGAGACACGGCCCAA
RNAcentral lists this ribosomal RNA (314 nucleotides) under uncultured bacterium. RNAcentral describes it as "bacterial SSU rRNA". It matches the Rfam family "Bacterial small subunit ribosomal RNA", at positions 28 to 334 of the family's 1533-position model. The record is from RNAcentral.